This 460-nucleotide ribosomal RNA is filed under the name uncultured bacterium. Its description in RNAcentral is "partial 16S ribosomal RNA". It matches the Rfam family "Bacterial small subunit ribosomal RNA", at positions 338 to 795 of the family's 1533-position model. The record is from RNAcentral.
CCUACGGGUGGCAGCAGUGAGGAAUAUUGGUCAAUGGACGAGAGUCUGAACCAGCCAAGUAGCGUGAAGGAUGACUGCCCUAUGGGUUGUAAACUUCUUUUAUAUGGGAAUAAAACGUUCCACGUGUGGGAUUUUGUAUGUACCAUAUGAAUAAGGAUCGGCUAACUUCGUGCCAGCAGCCGCGGUAAUACGGAGGAUCCGAGCGUUAUCCGGAUUUAUUGGGUUUAAAGGGAGCGUAGGUGGAUUGUUAAGUCAGUUGUGAAAGUUUGCGGCUCAACCGUAAAAUUGCAGUUGAAACUGGCAGUCUUGAGUACAGUAGAGGUGGGCGGAAUUCGUGGUGUAGCGGUGAAAUGCUUAGAUAUCACGAAGAACUCCGAUUGCGAAGGCAGUUCACUGGACUGCAACUGACACUGAGGCUCGAAAGUGUGGGUAUCAAACAGGAUUAGAUACCCCAGUAGUC